This 856-nucleotide transfer RNA is filed under the name uncultured Prochlorococcus sp. RNAcentral's name for it is "partial contains 16S ribosomal RNA, 16S-23S ribosomal RNA intergenic spacer, and 23S ribosomal RNA". The stretch from base 238 to 310 matches the Rfam family "tRNA". The record is from RNAcentral. Lineage: Bacteria; Bacillati; Cyanobacteriota; Cyanophyceae; Synechococcales; Prochlorococcaceae.
UGGAUCACCUCCUAACAGGGAGACAAAACUGACCACAGAUGUCUGAGUAAAUUAUUCUCAGGCCUGGAUCCUGUCACCUUAGGUCGAUCGGUACCUCAAGUUGAUUAACUUCAGUUCCUAAACUUGUCUAGGUCAACCCAACAAGGGUACUCCUGGGCCAUUAGCUCAGGUGGUUAGAGCGCACCCCUGAUAAGGGUGAGGUCCCUGGUUCAAGUCCAGGAUGGCCCAUUCGGUGUUGGGGGUUUAGCUCAGUUGGUAGAGCGCCUGCUUUGCAAGCAGGAUGUCAGCGGUUCGAGUCCGCUAACCUCCACUGACGAAUCUUCUGACAACGAGCCAAUGGUGAGAACCGUUGUGUGAUGUGAUUUAGAAUUUAAGUUUGCUGGCAGACCCUAGCUUUUUAUCAUUCCAGGUCUCAAUCAAUUGAGGUUAGGUUGAUAGGACGCUGGGCUCACUGUAAUUCGCAAGAAUUGCAGAGAUGUUCAGCAGAACCUUGACAACUGCAUAGGUAAGUCUGGAAAGAAUAAAGCAUCUCAUGGAUGCAUUAUUCUUGUGAACCAGCUAAUGCAAUCUGCGCGAGUAGAGAGCUGAAGUUGAUGAACGAGAAUGAUGUUUGAUUCUUGAGUCAAGAGCCGAGACUCUAUAGCGUUCUUUCGAUGUCAUCGAGGCAUCGAGAGUUUGAUUGGUCAUUCAAACCAUCUUCAAUGACAAACAAUUCAGUUUAACUGGAGAAGUUUGAGAUUGAAGCCAGGUGAAUUGCUAAGAAUACGUAUUCAACUACGUGAAGCGUUAUAGAGAUUAAUUGGUCAAGCUACAAAGGGCUCAUGGUGGAUACCUUGGCACACAGAGGCGAUGAAGG